Long non-coding RNA from Chelonia mydas (Green sea turtle), 175 nucleotides. RefSeq lists it as uncharacterized. The transcript is spliced from 3 exons. The record is from RefSeq and is a predicted model, not a curated record. NCBI's taxonomy places the organism in Eukaryota, Metazoa, Chordata, Testudines, Cheloniidae.
CACAAAGUUAAUUGACGCAUUAUUUGUUUAACAAGCAUCAUCCGCAUGGACACACGUCCUCUGGAAUGGUGGCCGAAGCACGAAGGGGCAUAUGAAUGUUUAGCAGAUCUGGCACGUAAAUACCUUGCAACGGCGGCUACAAAAGUGCCAUCUGAACACCUGUUCUCACUUUCAG